GGACCCGCACAAGCAGUGGAGCAUGUGGUUUAAUUCGAAGCAACGCGAAGAACCUUACCAAGUCUUGACAUUCCCCCGAAUACACGGCAAAACGUGUAGCCCUUCGGGGCGGGGGUAACAGGUGGUGCAUGGUUGUCGUCAGCUCGUGUCGUGAGAUGUUGGGUCAAGUCCCGCAACGAGCGCAACCCUUAUGGCCAGUAGCCAGCAGGCAAAGCUGGGCACUCCGGCCAGACUGCCCGGGAUAACCGGGAGGAAGGUGGGGAUGACGUCAAAUCAUCAUGCCCCUUAUGAUUUGGGCAACACACGUGCUACAAUGGCGUAAACAAAGGGAUGCAAGAGGGCGAUCUCAAGCGAAACCCAAAAAAUACGUCUCAGUUCGGACUGUAGUCUGCAACUCGACUACACGAAGCCGGAAUUGCUAGUAAUCGCGAAUCAGCAUGUCGCGGUGAAUACGUUCCCGGGUCUU
RNAcentral lists this ribosomal RNA (466 nucleotides) under uncultured bacterium. RNAcentral's name for it is "bacterial SSU rRNA". It matches the Rfam family "Bacterial small subunit ribosomal RNA", at positions 917 to 1382 of the family's 1533-position model. The record is from RNAcentral.